CAGGAUGACUCCCGACCCACUGAACUAUACCACCAGUCAGGGCAAGGCAGUAUCUUCUCACUAUCAUUCCACAAAGAUUCGCCGACUGCUUAGUCCGUGCCUGCUACUGUGCUGAUGCUUGGGAGAGAGUCAGGAAUGAGGGUCAGUCCUGCCCUCAGGGGUCCUGGUACAGGGGAUACGCUACAUCACCUGUGA
Long non-coding RNA from Phyllostomus discolor (pale spear-nosed bat), 195 nucleotides. RefSeq lists it as uncharacterized. Lineage: Eukaryota; Metazoa; Chordata; Mammalia; Chiroptera; Phyllostomidae. The record is from RefSeq and is a predicted model, not a curated record. The transcript has 3 exons.